AAGACCAUACUUUCAGGGAUCAUUUCUUCAGUUCAUUACUAGAAUAGUUUCUCUAAAUGUGUAAGGCGUCAGAAACCACAAGGAGGAGGCACAGCAUUCUCUAGUGAGUGGGAAGCCAGCUGUUGGUGUUGCUUCGCUGAAACUGCCAUUUGCCAUUGAUAAUCGUUCUUCUCUUCCAUCAGGAGACUAAGAGGUAGAAAACGCAGUCUGAAUGGU
This is a small nucleolar RNA of Cercocebus atys (sooty mangabey), 216 nucleotides long. Its record names the gene U3. It matches the Rfam family "Small nucleolar RNA U3". From Rfam's summary of the family: Small nucleolar RNAs (snoRNAs) are involved in the processing and modification of rRNA in the nucleolus. There are two main classes of snoRNAs: the box C/D class, and the box H/ACA class. NCBI's taxonomy places the organism in Eukaryota, Metazoa, Chordata, Mammalia, Primates, Cercopithecidae. The record is from Ensembl.